RNAcentral lists this ribosomal RNA (1239 nucleotides) under Triticum aestivum (bread wheat). RNAcentral's name for it is "partial small subunit ribosomal RNA". The record is from RNAcentral. Lineage: Eukaryota; Viridiplantae; Streptophyta; Magnoliopsida; Poales; Poaceae.
AUGGCUUGGAGUUUCCACUUUGUUCCCUUGCUCCUCCUCCUCCUGCUCUCCAACACUUCCGCAGUGGCCACCUCCGGGCACAGCGCCGGCAACGCCACCGCAAGGCUGAGGCCAGGGAGGGAGCCGCUCAAGCACCGGAGGAUCAGGGCUCUCCUCGGCAGGCUCAACAAGCCCACCCUCAAGACCAUCAAGAGCCCGGAUGGUGAUUUAAUCGACUGCGUUCCCUCCCACCUACAGCCCGCGUUUGACCACCCAAUGCUCAAGGGACAGAAGCCUCUGGACCCGCCGGAGAGGCCCAAGAACUACAACUCCACCAUUGCCGGAGCGGUGGUGGUGCAGGCGUGGCAUGCCACCGGCGAGGCCUGCCCGGAAGGGACGGUGGCGCUGCGGCGGACGACGGAGAAGGAUCUGCUCAGGGCUAGCUCCCUCAGGAGGUACGGCAGGAAGCCGCCACGCCGGACCACCCGCCGUGAUUCCACCAGCAGUGGCCAUGAGCACGCGGUUGGGUACGUGAAUUCAGAGAAAUACUAUGGGGCCAGAGCGAGUGUUAACGUGUGGUCACCCAGGAUAGAUGACCCAUCUGAGUUCAGCCUGUCGCAGAUCUGGGUCAUCUCCGGCUCCUUCGGCCACGAUCUCAACACCAUUGAGGCUGGAUGGCAGGUCAGCCCGGAGCUGUAUGGAGAUAGCAAUGCUAGGUUCUUCACUUACUGGACAACUGAUGCGUACCAAGAGACGGGGUGCUACAACCACAACUGCCGUGGAUUUGUCCAGACGACCAACAAGAUAGCCAUCGGCGCGGCUAUCACGCCACAAUCGGUGUACAACGGGAGGCAGUUUGAUAUUAAUCUGAUGAUAUGGAAGGAUCCCAAGCACGGGCACUGGUGGCUGGAGCUGGGCCCGGGCAUGGUGGUCGGCUACUGGCCGUCCGGACUGUUCACCCACCUGGCGCACCACGCGAGGAUGGUGCAGUUCGGCGGCGAGGUCGUCAACACCCGGCCGCCGGGGUCCCACACGGCGACGCAGAUGGGCAGCGGCCACUUCCCCGGCGAGGGGUUCGACCGCGCCGCCUACUUCCGGAACCUGCAGGUGGUGGACUGGGACAACAGCAUCAUCCGGGCGUCCGGCCUCAAGCUCCUCGCCGACCACCCCGGGUGCUACGACAUCCAGGGAGGCUCCAACGGCCGCUGGGGGACCUACUUCUACUAUGGGGGGCCAGGGAGGAACGUGAAAUGCCCCUGA